GACGUAGGUGGCGAGCGUUGUUCGGAAUCACUGGGCAUAAAGCGCACGUAGGCGGCGGCGUAAGUCGGGUGUGAAAUCCCUCGGCCUAACCGAGGAACUGCGCCCGAUACUGCGUUGCUUGAGGAUCAGAGGGGUGCAUGGAAUUUCCGGUGGAGCGGUGAAAUGCGUAGAGAUCGGAAAGAACACCAACGGCGAAAGCACUCUGCUGGGCCGACACUGACACUGAGAGACGAAAGCUAGGGGAGCGAAUGGG
This 253-nucleotide ribosomal RNA is filed under the name uncultured bacterium. RNAcentral's name for it is "partial 16S ribosomal RNA". It matches the Rfam family "Bacterial small subunit ribosomal RNA", at positions 524 to 776 of the family's 1533-position model. The record is from RNAcentral.